RNAcentral lists this long non-coding RNA (431 nucleotides) under Carica papaya (papaya). Its description in RNAcentral is "long non-coding RNA (CPAP_LNC001777)". The record is from RNAcentral. Lineage: Eukaryota; Viridiplantae; Streptophyta; Magnoliopsida; Brassicales; Caricaceae.
UAGAAAGUAUUUUGAUCUUGAUGUAGCAAUUGUAACGGCCCCGGAAUUUUAAAAUAAAAUAUGUGAAUUAAAAAGGUCAAAUGCGGAAGCGUAAUAAAAAUUUUGAUUAACAUCCCUUACACCAAAACAAAAAACGUGCUCAAAGUAUAAAAGAACAAACUAACUAAAAGAGAAACUCGAAAAUAAAAGCUAUAAAUAUAACUACGGAGUCUUCAGGCGUCCCCUUCGUUGUCUUCCUACGGAACGGGCUCGUGAACAAUGUCUUCCUGAUCUGAAAUGAUUAAAUAAGAAAUGAGCUACACCAGCCCAGUAAAGACAUCACACUAUCUCACCGUCACGGAGGUAAAGGUGGGUAGAAAACACAAAAAGACCAAUGGAGCAUAAUUUACAACAAAUUCUUUUAUCAAUAAUAAAAUCCUUUACUAUCCACU